Molecule: ribosomal RNA, 253 nt
Filed under: uncultured bacterium
Lineage: Bacteria
Description: partial 16S ribosomal RNA
Rfam family: Bacterial small subunit ribosomal RNA
Source: RNAcentral
UACGUAGGGGGCAAGCGUUGUCCGGAUUUAUUGGGCGUAAAGAGCGUGUAGGCGGCUUUGCAGGUCCGCUGUGAAAACUCGAGGCUCAACCUCGAGCUGUCGGUGGAAACCGUAAAGCUAGAGUCCGGAAGAGGAGAGUGGAAUUCCCGGUGUAGCGGUGAAAUGCGCUGAUAUCGGGAAGAACACCCGUGGCGAAGGCGGCUCUCUGGGCCGUAACUGACGCUGAGGCGCGAAAGCCAGGGGAGCAAACGGG